Molecule: long non-coding RNA, 715 nt
Organism: Juglans regia (Persian walnut)
Lineage: Eukaryota; Viridiplantae; Streptophyta; Magnoliopsida; Fagales; Juglandaceae
Exons: 4
Source: RefSeq, a predicted model, not a curated record
CCAGACUCUAGCCGCCGCACCACCUUGGAAUCGCAAGCCCGGCCUCCUUUCCCUCGGUUGCAUGCACUCCCAUACCGAGAGUCACCCCACAUAAGCUAGCCCUCCGUCGUCCCUUUUACCGCCACCAGUGCACCCUCGUAAGCCUCUGAUCAGCUAACCAUCUCCACCGUGCACCGACCAGAAUCCAAACGAAAUCGACGCAACCGUGCAUGCUUUGCAUCUCCACGGAUCACAACUCCACCUCGCCGUGCAUCACCUUCUCUUGGCCAUCACUGGAGUCCAGCUUCGCCGCCAUACUCGACCUGCACCACCACCAGAGUGCUGAGAAACAACCAUCUAUAGAGUGAGUCGAAACUCCUCUGUUUUGAGUCCGAAAAACAGAGCAUUUUUCCAGCCACCCUGAGCCGCUGAAAACACCCUCCACCGAAAGCUCCUCCGCGCUGUGCCCCCUCAGAAACUGCCAGGGAGGACGUCUCAUCACCCCUGUCCGCCGCACGCUGCCUCUGUUUCCCCGGUAAACUCACGCCAUUUCGGCCAGUGACCAGGUGCCACCCCCCCUUUCGCCGUAGCCAACCACCAGCUCCACGCCGUCGUGCCCUCACCUCUCCGUGACGAUUAAUUAUUAUCCGACGCUUUUGAGGAAUUUUCGAAAAAAGCUAAGAAGUCCAGUGGUUUUCUGCGUGGUCUUUCCUAUGUGCACACACGGGGCUCCGAG